RNAcentral lists this ribosomal RNA (253 nucleotides) under uncultured bacterium. RNAcentral describes it as "partial 16S ribosomal RNA". It matches the Rfam family "Bacterial small subunit ribosomal RNA", at positions 524 to 776 of the family's 1533-position model. The record is from RNAcentral.
UACGGGGGGGGCAAGCGUUGUUCGGAAUUACUGGGCGUAAAGGGCUCGUAGGCGGCCAGCUAAGUCAGACGUGAAAUCCCUCGGCUCAACCGGGGAACUGCGUCUGAUACUGGAUGGCUUGAGUGUGGGAGAGGGAUGCGGAAUUCCAGGUGUAGCGGUGAAAUGCGUAGAUAUCUGGAGGAACACCGGUGGCGAAGGCGGCAUCCUGGACCACGACUGACGCUGAGGAGCGAAAGCCAGGGGAGCAAACGGG